This 642-nucleotide transfer RNA is filed under the name uncultured bacterium. RNAcentral describes it as "partial contains 16S-23S ribosomal RNA intergenic spacer and 23S ribosomal RNA". The stretch from base 189 to 262 matches the Rfam family "tRNA". The record is from RNAcentral.
CGUAGGGAACCUGCGGNUGGAUCACCUCCUUUUUAAGGAGUCAUUGACUCUAAAGAAAACUCGGGCCAAGGGCCACUNUUCAAUACAUCCUUACACAACACUACGAAGUAGAUUCAGGUAUCGGUUCAGACGGAGACUUUCCAUAAGAAGAGUUCGCGAUACAGGCCCUGGUCGCUUCAGACUCAGCUGGGCCUGUAGCUCAGUUGGUUAGAGCACGCGCUUGAUAAGCGCGGGGUCGAUAGUUCAACUCUAUCCAGGCCCACCAUUCGUGCAGAGUCACACGUCCAUUGUCAGGCGUCAUUCGGGAGAGAGCUCCGACACGCUUCACGUAUGACGCUUCACGAUUGACGGGCUUCUGGGGCUGUAGCUCAAUUGGGAGAGCACCUGCUUUGCAAGCAGGGGGUCGUCGGUUCAAUUCCGUCCAGCUCCACCAAAUCUUCUGGUGUGAUGCAGCGGAGCUCGCUCUGUUGCUCAACUUCCUCUACUCAGCGUCGAAUGACGGUCUAACCGUCAUUCUGUUCUUUGACAAUUGAAUAGGUCUUGAUGAAAGACCAUGUGUAUCAGGAGCAAAGUGAUUGUUAAGCUACUAAGGGUGUACGGUGAAUGCCCCUGGCAUCCAGCAGGCGAUGAAGGACGUGCUAA